ACUCAGUCCUCAAAAUCCUCCUUCAUGAAAAUUUCUUGGUUUCACAUAUGUUGGGGAUGUGAGGGCCGGAGGAUAGAGGGGUAGAAGAGAAAGGUAGAAAAAAAAAAUCUCAAAGGAAGAAAACCAGGAUUGUUGCUAGUUUUAGAGAUCCAUAUCAUUCCUGCUUCUCUUCUCAUCCAAUAGGUGGGGUUGUCUAUUGUAAGCUGGUGUCUCUGCCAUCAAGAUGGUGGAGGUAACCAGGGUGGGAAGAGUGGUCCUGGUGCAGGACUCCUGGAAGUGGGGAGUGGCACCUGCCAGUCCCUGCAGGGAGACUGGACCUCACUAGUCUCUUUUUGGGACCGCUCAUAUGAGUUGAGCGCCCAGUACUAUCUCCCUAUCUUGCCUGGAGAUUUCCCAGUUCCUGGUCUCUCUGUUAGGCUU
This 420-nucleotide long non-coding RNA is filed under the name Marmota monax (woodchuck). The record is from RNAcentral. Lineage: Eukaryota; Metazoa; Chordata; Mammalia; Rodentia; Sciuridae.